CCCGCUGAGUUUAAGCAUAUCAAUAAGCGGAGGAAAAGAAACUAACAAGGAUUCCCCUAGUAACGGCGAGCG
This 72-nucleotide ribosomal RNA is filed under the name Terminalia ivorensis. RNAcentral's name for it is "partial 28S ribosomal RNA". It matches the Rfam family "Eukaryotic large subunit ribosomal RNA", at positions 24 to 95 of the family's 3401-position model. Lineage: Eukaryota; Viridiplantae; Streptophyta; Magnoliopsida; Myrtales; Combretaceae. The record is from RNAcentral.